AGCACAAAUGAUGAAUGACAAGGGACUUAAUACUGAAACCUCGUGCUGCAGUGUGCAAUAUGCUGACAUGC
Molecule: small nucleolar RNA, 71 nt
Organism: Nannospalax galili (Upper Galilee mountains blind mole rat)
Lineage: Eukaryota; Metazoa; Chordata; Mammalia; Rodentia; Spalacidae
Product: small nucleolar RNA SNORD82
Exons: 1
Source: RefSeq, a predicted model, not a curated record